GGGGACGUAAUGGUUUCGACAGAUUUGUUGAAAUCACAGAGGCACGUCGAGGCGCCGGAGGCCUCGUUAAAACCGGCAAAUUGUAUUUGGCAACGAAUACGCAAUGGCUGCUUAAUAGUUUAAUUACUACUUAGGCUACCCGUCUUACCCGUAUGUUCCGUCGGUGCGGGAGUAGACGUCAUUUAGAUGGAGUAGAGUGGGUUUUCUCGCAGAUGGGAUCCACUCGAAAAUAAAGUCUGCGGAGGGCAAGAGGAGUCGGUGACUGGACGCCUCAUGCUUAAUCUAAAGAAGUCACUACGCGUGUAGAAUCUGUGACGGAUCUCUUUUGGACGAGGGUUCGAUUCCCUCCGUCUCCACCA
Molecule: transfer-messenger RNA, 359 nt
Filed under: Oligoflexia bacterium
Lineage: Bacteria; Pseudomonadati; Bdellovibrionota; Oligoflexia
Also listed under: 1 other name
Rfam family: transfer-messenger RNA
About the family: Bacterial tmRNA, also known as 10Sa RNA or SsrA, is named for its dual tRNA and mRNA-like properties. Its role is to liberate the mRNA from a stalled ribosome.
Source: Rfam by way of RNAcentral